UGCAUGGCGGGUAGUUUGACUGGGGUGGUCGCCUCCAAAAGGGUAACGGAGGCUUCCAAAGGUCUGCUCAGCACGCUUGGUAACCGUGCGUAGAGUGCAAUAGCAUAAGCAGGCUUGACUGAGAGACUUACAAGUCGCACAGGUAGGAAACUAGGGUAUAGUGAUCCGGCGGUACCGCGUGGAAGGGCCGUCGCUCAAAGGAUAAAAGGUACUCCGGGGAUAACAGGCUGAUCUCCCCCAAGAGCUCAUAUCGACGGGGAGGUUUGGCACCUCGAUGUCGGCUCGUCACAUCCUGGGGCUGGAGAAGGUCCCAAGGGUUCGGCUGUUCGCCGAUUAAAGUGGCACGCGAGCUGGGUUCAGAACGUCGCGAGACAGUUCGGUCUCUAUCUAUUGCGGGCGUUAGACGUUUGAGAGGGGCUGGCCUUAGUACGAGAGGACCGGGUCGGACGAACCUCUGGUGCACCUGUUGUGACGCCAGUUGCAGCGCAGGG
Molecule: ribosomal RNA, 491 nt
Filed under: uncultured bacterium
Lineage: Bacteria
Description: bacterial LSU rRNA
Rfam family: Bacterial large subunit ribosomal RNA
Source: RNAcentral